GAUGAACGCUGGCGGCGUGCCUAAUACAUGCAAGUCGAGCGAACAGAUGAGGAGCUUGCUCCUCUGACGUUAGCGGCGGACGGGUGAGUAACACGUGGAUAACCUACCUAUAAGACUGGGAUAACUUCGGGAAACCGGAGCUAAUACCGGAUAAUAUAUUGAACCGCAUGGUUCAAUAGUGAAAGACGGUUUUGCUGUCACUUAUAGAUGGACCCGCGCCGCAUUAGCUAGUUGGUAAGGUAACGGCUUACCAAGGCAACGAUGCGUAGCCGACCUGAGAGGGUGAUCGGCCACACUGGAACUGAGACACGGUCCAGACUCCUACGGGAGGCAGCAGUAGGGAAUCUUCCGCAAUGGGCGAAAGCUUGACGGAGCAACGCCGCGUGAGUGAUGAAGGUCUUCGGAUCGUAAAACUCUGUUAUUAGGGAAGAACAAAUGUGUAAGUAACUAUGCACGUCUUGACGGUACCUAAUCAGAAAGCCACGGCUAACUACGUG
This 497-nucleotide ribosomal RNA is filed under the name uncultured bacterium. RNAcentral's name for it is "partial 16S ribosomal RNA". It matches the Rfam family "Bacterial small subunit ribosomal RNA", at positions 28 to 507 of the family's 1533-position model. The record is from RNAcentral.